UAAUACGAGGGGUGCAAGCGUUAAUCAGAAUUACUGGGCGUAAAGCGUUCGUAGGCGGUUUGUUAAGCAAGAUGUGAAAGCCCAGGGCUCAACCUUGGAACUGCAUUUUGAACUGGCAGACUAGAGUACUGUAGAGGGUGGUGGAAUUUCCAGUGUAGCGGUGAAAUGCGUAGAGAUUGGAAGGAACAUCAGUGGCGAAGGCGGCCACCUGGACAGAUACUGACGCUGAGGAACGAAAGCGUGGGGGGCAAACAGGAUUAGAUACCCUGGUAGUCCACGCCGUAAACGAUGUCAACUAUCCGUUCGUAGACUUGAUCUGUGAGUGGAGCAGCUAACGCAAUAAGUUGACCGCCUGGGGAGUACGGCCGCAAGGUUA
RNAcentral lists this ribosomal RNA (376 nucleotides) under uncultured Alteromonadales bacterium. RNAcentral describes it as "bacterial SSU rRNA". It matches the Rfam family "Bacterial small subunit ribosomal RNA", at positions 521 to 896 of the family's 1533-position model. The record is from RNAcentral. Lineage: Bacteria; Pseudomonadati; Pseudomonadota; Gammaproteobacteria; Alteromonadales.